CUCAAACAUAUGUUGGCUAGUAUUGGACUAUCAAUGAUGAUGCAUUUUUCAAGAUGAUAUUAUGCAUCUUUUAUCAAACAAUUGAGAAUUUGUUUUCUGAUGCUUUGGACAUUUUGUAAUGAAUUCCUCAUUGUAUCCUUGAGCAUUUAAUGCACAUUCUUUAUUUUGACAUACUAACAUUAUUGAAACCAAAAUCAUGGAAACAUUAUUGCAAACAUCUAUAUGAGUUACAAUCCAUAAUUUUUUAAAAUUCUUUCCUAGUAUUGAUUUUUGUGCAUUCUAAACAACAAAUUUGGCAUACAACUUGUUGUCAACUGAGGAAUGCAAGCAAGUGAUGCCAUUAAAUUGUUACAGAUGCUUGGUAUACUACAGUGGAGCACAUAAAGGAUGAGUUUUAUUAGCUCUUGGUUCUAUUGAAUUUUCAUUUGAUUACAUUCCGUUACAUUCAAUUACUUUUUACCAAAUAUGCACUUAGUUCAUUGCUUAAUCAGAAUAAAUAAUUAAUGCAAAUUCCCAAAAUUUAUUUAAGAUUCCAAAAUGAACCUGCAUGUUAGCCACAGACCCAGGAAGCAAAAGAAAAAAGAAAUGAACCACAUCAUAC
This 601-nucleotide unclassified non-coding RNA is filed under the name Hevea brasiliensis (rubber tree). The record is from RNAcentral. Lineage: Eukaryota; Viridiplantae; Streptophyta; Magnoliopsida; Malpighiales; Euphorbiaceae.